GACGAACGCUGGCGGCGUGCUUAACACAUGCAAGUCGAACGGAAAGGCCCUGCUUUUGUGGGGUGCUCGAGUGGCGAACGGGUGAGUAACACGUGAGUAACCUGCCCUUGACUUUGGGAUAACUUCAGGAAACUGGGGCUAAUACCGGAUAGGAGCUCCUGCUGCAUGGUGGGGGUUGGAAAGUUUCGGCGGUUGGGGAUGGACUCGCGGCUUAUCAGCUUGUUGGUGGGGUAGUGGCUUACCAAGGCUUUGACGGGUAGCCGGCCUGAGAGGGUGACCGGCCACAUUGGGACUGAGAUACGGCCCAGACUCCUACGGGAGGCAGCAGUGGGGAAUAUUGCGCAAUGGGCGGAAGCCUGAUGCAGCAACGCCGCGUGCGGGAUGACGGCCUUCGGGUUGUAAACCGCUUUCGCCUGUGACGAAGCGUGAGUGACGGUAAUUGGUAAAGAAGCACCGGCUAACUACGUG
Molecule: ribosomal RNA, 468 nt
Filed under: uncultured bacterium
Lineage: Bacteria
Description: partial 16S ribosomal RNA
Rfam family: Bacterial small subunit ribosomal RNA
Source: RNAcentral